CGGAUGAACGCUGGCGGCGUGCUUGAUACAUGCAAGUCGAACGGAGAGUGUAGCAAUAUACUCUUAGUGGCGAACGGGUGAGUAACGCGUUGGUGACCUGCCCCGAAGCGAGGGAUAACAGUUCGAAAGAACUGCUAAUACCUCAUGUGAUCACCGGUUUUAGAAUCUGGUGAUUAAAGGUGAAAAUCACUUCGGGAGGGGCCUGCGUCCCAUCAGCUAGUUGGUAGGGUAAUGGCUUACCAAGGCGAUGACGGGUAGGGGACCUGAGAGGGUGGCCCCCCACAAUGGAACUGAAACACGGUCCAUACACCUACGGGUGGCAGCAGUAGGGAAUAUUGCAAAUGGGCGAAAGCCUGAUGUAGCAACGCCGCGUGUGCGAUGAAGGUCUUCGGAUUGUAAAGCACUUUUUGGAGGAUGAGGAAGGACGGUACUCUCAGAAUAAGUCUCGGCUAACUACGUG
Molecule: ribosomal RNA, 460 nt
Filed under: uncultured bacterium
Lineage: Bacteria
Description: bacterial SSU rRNA
Rfam family: Bacterial small subunit ribosomal RNA
Source: RNAcentral